CUCGGGGCCGGGGGGUCCCUCAGCCUGGAUGGCGAGAAGGCACAGGCCAGGUCGAGGGACCCCACUGGUAUAGG
RNAcentral lists this microRNA precursor (74 nucleotides) under Myotis brandtii (Brandt's bat). RNAcentral's name for it is "mir-9193 microRNA precursor family". It matches the Rfam family "mir-9193 microRNA precursor family". The record is from Rfam by way of RNAcentral. Lineage: Eukaryota; Metazoa; Chordata; Mammalia; Chiroptera; Vespertilionidae.